GCCUGGGGACGUGGACCUGGCCGAGGGAAGGGAGAGGGUACCGGUCCUUGGUGUAAUCACGUUUUACUCUGCUGGGAAGGCGUGUUCAUCUUCCCACCGAAACGCGCCAUAGACUGGAUCAGGCGUUUUUUGCUCAUCAUCGUUUCAAAAAACGUUUACUGAAGGAAAGAAAGGAAGAAGGCAGGAGGAGCGAUAAAGAGAUAGCAAGAGAAAGAGGAUGGAAAGUGGGGAAAAUGAAUAGAUUUCUAAAGGUUGGGAAAGCCUUUUAGCAGGGAGAUGUUUUCCUGGAGGUCUUGGAACUCUCUUGGUCUCACAGCCUCUGUAAACCGAGGGCUGCACACCUGUCUCUAGUCCCCAGCUGAUUUCCAGAGGCCCUUCCAGCUCCUGUGUUGAUUCUUCUGCCUCGACUCACUUCUAGCAGACAAGUACCAUCCAGCUGACCCUGGUAGGCACGUGGCCACAUAAUACGGAUUGCACGAGGGAAAUAAGAUGUUCCCCCUUUCUCCUUCUGAUAUGAGAAGAUACUUGUUAGCCCUCAAGCUGCUCAGAUGAGGGACUUUCCUGCCGAGAACCAACGUGAAGAGUGCAGCUUCUAUAAAGGAUUUCACUGGAUUUUUGUACUAAUGAACAAAUUUUAUUUGGAUGAGUAGAUAUUUAAUGUGCUGUUAUUACCACUGGAGUUAAAAGUAUAUUAUAAAUUCUUAUGUCUUUAAAACUAGAGAGAGGAUUCUGGGAAGAUGGCAGAGUAGAAAGCACCAGGAAUCCGACUUCCCACCUAAACAACUGUUCUAGCA
RNAcentral lists this long non-coding RNA (794 nucleotides) under Homo sapiens (human). RNAcentral's name for it is "HSALNT0320362". Lineage: Eukaryota; Metazoa; Chordata; Mammalia; Primates; Hominidae. The record is from RNAcentral.